This is a long non-coding RNA of Gadus macrocephalus (Pacific cod), 1223 nucleotides long. RefSeq lists it as uncharacterized. The record is from RefSeq and is a predicted model, not a curated record. Lineage: Eukaryota; Metazoa; Chordata; Actinopteri; Gadiformes; Gadidae. The transcript has 2 exons.
CCGGCGGCGGGUGUGGGUGGGCCUGCCAUGUGCCAUCCCCAGGGGCUUGCCAGAGGGACUCCUCAUGGUGGACUAAUGUUAGUAUAGACAAGUCUGAUUUUAUUUUCCAUAAUUCUUCAAACGGAAUAAUCCAACUGAAAAUGUAAUCAAAUGAAAAAUAUUGCAUACAUAGACAUGGUUCUGUUCGAGUAUUUAAAAAUAUAGUCGAAGCUAAGGAUUUUAGGAAGUGUGCCAUGUCAAAUAGUUUGAAAUUAGUAUUUAAACUGCCGUGUUGUAUGGCUAAAUGCUGUGUAUACCAAGCACAAAAAAGAGAAUUUGACCAAAUCAGUUUUCCAUAACUGGGGGAAAACGGUUUAUUUAUUAAUCAUCUCCCCAAAAGAAACAUUCAAACAUCAAGAGUGAUCCGUCAUCUUGCCAAAUACACACUGGUUCUUGCCUUGAUGCAAAGAUGAGAACAUUUCUUGUGAACUAUGGUCUUUAAAUGACAUGAAAUGCAGUGUCAAGCAGCCUUGUAGACAGGAACAACGGAGGUGUGCUCGCUUUAAAACUAAAAGUGCACAGAAGACAUACUCUUAUAAAUAAUGGCACCAUCUAUCGCUACAUUAAAGACAUUUUAGUGUACAAAUCCAGCAUUGAAAAGAUCUCAUACAUAAUCCACAGGUUAUUUUAUACUGCACACAUUUCUAUUAACAUCUUAUGCUGAUCUGAAUUCAAUAAGUUACCUAUUUAUAUUACUAUUAUGGGCUAGUACCGCAUUCUACACUUGUGUUGGUUUAGUGCAACAUGUAAAAUCACUGAAACAUUACAUUUACUUUUUACUUUCAUGUAGUAGUCAAGGUUCCCUUCAGUAAAACUAUUUGUGGGCAUAAAGAACAUCUCAUAGACACCGUUAAGGGUGAAUCCUCACGAGUGGACCUGCUGUACAGGAGCAGGUAACAAACGUCCCUUAGAACUAUUGGUUGGUAGUGAAGAAUACAUUUAAAGAAAGUGACCAGGGUUACAAACAGGUUAUCACACCAGUUCACACACUGUUCAGGCCUGAACAUGACAAGUCAACCAACGGUCUUUUUGUAGCCUUUGUUUGUUUGUCUGACAAUAUGGAGCAACGCUUUCAGUGGGUUGAAUUAAAUCACAACAGACAGGUUUCGGACAUCCAUCACUAGUACAGCUUUCAAGAGAUAAAAUUAGUUUUGAUUAAAUUGUGGCUUGGCAUAAAAAAAAGA